GACCUCAAAUCAGGUAGGGCUACCCGCUGAACUUAAGCAUAUCAAUAAGCGGAGGAAAAGAAACUAACAAGGAUUCCCCUAGUAGCGGCGAGCGAACCGGGAUGAGCUCAAAUUUGUAAUCUGGCGUCCUCCGGGCGUCCGAGUUGUAAUCUACAGAAGCGUUUUCCGUGCCGGACCGUGUCCAAGUCCCUUGGAACAGGGUAUCAAAGAGGGUGACAAUCCCGUACUUGACGCGACGACCGGUGCAUUGUGAUACG
Molecule: ribosomal RNA, 257 nt
Filed under: Tremella nashii
Lineage: Eukaryota; Fungi; Basidiomycota; Tremellomycetes; Tremellales; Tremellaceae
Description: partial large subunit ribosomal RNA
Rfam family: Eukaryotic large subunit ribosomal RNA
Source: RNAcentral